RNAcentral lists this small RNA (98 nucleotides) under Pedobacter terrae. Its description in RNAcentral is "Flavo-1 RNA". It matches the Rfam family "Flavo-1 RNA". The record is from RNAcentral. Lineage: Bacteria; Pseudomonadati; Bacteroidota; Sphingobacteriia; Sphingobacteriales; Sphingobacteriaceae.
AAAUAGCCCUGAUGGGAGCGGUAUCCCUUUUGGGUUAGGUAUGUUUGUCUAACAGAUAAACUUUCCCAAACGGAUUGCAGCGUACAGCAGGACGGAAC